AUACUCGAUUAGACUGCAUUUUGCCUUGCUUUUCCUUCUCCCUUUCUCUCUCUUUCUUUCUUUCUUUCUUUCUUUCUUUCUUUCUUUCUUUCUUUCUUUCUUUCUUUCUUUCUUUCUUUCUUUUUCUUUCUCUCUCUCUCUCUCUUUCUUUCUUUCCUUUCUUUUCUUUCUUUCCUCUUUCUCUUUCCUUCUUUCUUUUUUUCUUCUUUCUUUCCUUCCUUCCUUCCAUCUUUCUUUUCUUUCUUUCCAUUUUUUUUUUCCUCCAGAAGAAUGGAAACAGUAUUCUUUUCCGAUCAGUUCAGUAAUACAAUGUCCUUCAGUGUCCAUAUGAGCAUUUCAGUGGAGAAGAAAAGAAACUUUGCUACCUGGGAACUGAAGACUACUUAGUGAAGAUCCCGGUGUUACACAUCCAAUCGUUCACCUCCUUCCAAGACUAUGACAUUCCAGGAAACCUUCACUGCUAAGAGGAACUAAGAUCUAGAGUAUCUCCUCGAGGAAGUACAACUGACUUGUCUUUGGACAAAAUUGAGAAGAACUCAUAAACUUGGCUUCCUCGCUUCUGCUCCUCAGACGCGCGUGGAUGAUUUGAAGAUAUUAGCCUAACAAGAUGGAAGCAGGUUUAAAAUUUUACAUAAGAAGUUACCUUUUUCAGUUGUGUUGAUGUUCCUUUCAGCUGGUCCUAUAGUACCCCUCCUCAGGAAUGUCUCCCCAGUGCAAGGACAAAGACUGAAGAGACUGCUAUAUUGAUGGACUCUCAAGCCAACUAUGAAGUUGAAACAAAGAAAGUGAUCACCUGAAGACACCUCCUCUGCUAAGAAACACCCCCAAAUUGUGCAGCUUCUGCCACUAGAACUCUCAGAACAAGAGACAAUCUUUUCAAGAAACAGAAAAACUCAAUAAUGACAUCUAGAUUUUCAUGAGCCAAGAACUUUCCCUUCCUCAUGUGUAUUCCUCUGUUUGUACUUAAAUUCAUGUGACAUUCAUUUUUUUCCUAGUAUGGAUAUGCUUAUUAAUGCACUUGUUUCAAAAUCCCAAAUUGCACAAAUGUGUUAAUAUUUUAAGAAACAAAAUGAAUCCUACAAGGAGAAUGAUUUUUAGCCACACAUAGGGUUGGAUCUUGAGAGUGACCUACAGAAUAAAAGUACUUUUAAAAUAAAGUAGUCAGAGGCUAUUCAAAGGGUAAAAUAAUCAUAGUACCACAUUGGUCCACUUGACACUAACCAAUCGAUCAUUUUUUUUUAAUCAAGAAAGCUAGAUUCUAUCAGAUAAAAUCACUGCUUCUAAAGAGUUUAAAUCUAGUUAGAAAAAGUUAUAGAAAUGUUUGCAAAGAUAAGUAACAGAUAGAGUCAGUAGAGGAUAAGAUCAAAAACAAAACCAAGCAAAAGAUGAGUUCAGGGGAGUUUGCCAUCAAGUUGGCAAAACUGACUUACUUAGGGAAGAAAGUUAUAAAACAGGAAAAUAUGAGAUGAACCUUGAGUGAUGUGGAAGAUUUAGAUAAAUGGAAAGGAAGGAGAAAAUGGAGUUCUUUAGGUGGUUGUAAUUGGAGGAGGAAAUGAAUACACACAUCUUGUUGACUUAAACCCAGACAUUCAGCAGCUCUCUAUACAUAUCUGGAAAAGACUGCACAGUCACCUCCUGUCUCUCACCCCAGGUAUUACUUAGAAUUAUUAUCAUAUUUCCCUUCCUUUAAAGUAAGUAAGGGUGAUUGGUGACAAUAUGGAGAACUAUGAUUUUUCCAUUAACCUAAUAAUAAUUGGUAUUUAUUGAGUUCUGUUAAGCAUUUUACAUAUUAACUCACUUAAGCCUUUCAACAGCCUUGCAAAAUAGGUAUUAUUAUCCCCAUUUUACAGGCAAGAAAACUGAGGUUUAAGUAACUUGCCGAAGUGCCAUAUACAGGGCUCACAUUCAGUAUUGCAGUUGCAAAGCUCAUGAUCUAUAGUGCCAAGUUGCAAUAUUGUAGUCAAUGUCACAAUUAUUACCCCUUUUUAUAUUCCUUGAUAUUUUUCCAUGGCAAACAAUUAGCUAUUUCAUUUAAUAA
Long non-coding RNA from Homo sapiens (human), 2038 nucleotides. Ensembl annotates it as mir-100-let-7a-2-mir-125b-1 cluster host gene. Its record names the gene MIR100HG. The record is from Ensembl. Lineage: Eukaryota; Metazoa; Chordata; Mammalia; Primates; Hominidae.